UGUAACUGCUCUGUUUAGUUAAGGCUGAAAUAGCUCAGUGCUGCAGCAUUUAAAAUUGACCAAAGGCUCCUUCCCAGGGCUGGAUCUUGCCAGAGCUGUAUUACUCUGUAGUUUAAAACUGGGUCCUGGAAUGAAUAUUGUGGGGUGAAUAAUUCCCAGAGGACAGCUGAUGCUGUAGUUACAAAGCUCUUACUGAUGACCUGCUGGAAGUCAAGGUUGCCAUACACAAACUGGCCAGUGCUAGAGGCUGCUGCUACUUCAAAGCCCAGAGCAAGGUGACUGACUGCACCUUUCUCCUAGUGAAAACCAGGACACCCUUUCCCUCAGGGCAGGGAGACCCCAAAUCCUCACUAAGUGCAGCAAACAGAGACUUAAAGACAGCAGGGUUCUUCAAAGGAAAUGUGUCAUGGCUAGUCAGUGCAGUUGUAUGAAUAUGUGAGAUUUUAUGUAUCAAUAGCCACCGAAGUGUGGUUAUACUAACAGCUGCAUGUUCUUUCUAGUUCUCCUUCCUCCAGUGCACAGCAAGGAGUUGUUAUUAGGUGUCCAAUUUGCAUGGAAUUUUACUCAGAGUUUAUUCAACGCGGACGACAGCUUGUGGCAACCCAAUGUGGCCAUGUCUUCUGCAGUAGAUGCCUCCCUAUUGCUCUUGAGGCUUCUUACAUGUGCCCAAGCUGCAGAAUGGCACUCACACCACAACGAUACCAUACCAUUUAUUUAUGAGUGCUAGAUGGAUCUUGGCCAAUAGGCAGCGUAGAAACUUGUUUAUGUAUAUAGUUCUUCCUCUAUAUAGUUUCAUUUUUGCUGAAUUCAAUUUAAGUAAAGUUUUGAUUGAUUUAAAUAUAGUCUGUCUGCUCUUCUGUCUGCACUGUGCUGGUAGAGAUGUUGUUUAACCGGUAGAAAUAAGGCUCUUUGUUGGAGCAGUAAGGAGCUCGUUCAUCUCCCCGUAGUCAUUGACUUGGGGGCAAUGUGCUAAAGCCAUAAUCUUUGCAGUUCUUAUGGUCAGUGUGUGUUGUAGAGGGAAAAAGAAACAGGCCUUCCUUUUGGGGCAAGGCCUUGUAUUUCUCAAGCCAGAUUCUGGUGAAUGUUUUGGUGAAAAUGUCAUGAUUUUGGUGCUCUGAAUAUUGGAAGAACAGCAGGUUGUCCACAGUUUGCGAAGAAAACAGUUUCCUUUGAGAAACUUGUAGGUAUCC
This 1190-nucleotide long non-coding RNA is filed under the name Taeniopygia guttata (zebra finch). RNAcentral's name for it is "lncRNA (ENSTGUG00000028496.1)". The record is from RNAcentral. Lineage: Eukaryota; Metazoa; Chordata; Aves; Passeriformes; Estrildidae.